UACGGAGGAUCCGAGCGUUAUCCGGAUUUAUUGGGUUUAAAGGGUGCGCAGGCGGGAGAUUAAGUCGGCGGUGAAAUUUUGCAGCUCAACUGUAAAAGUGCCUUCGAAACUGGUUUCCUUGAGUGUGGAUGAAGUAGGCGGAAUUUGUGGUGUAGCGGUGAAAUGCAUAGAUAUCACGAGGAACUCCGAUUGCGCAGGCAGCUUACUAAACCAUAACUGACGCUCAGGCACGAAGGCGUGGGGAUCAAACAGGAUUAGAUACCCGUGUA
RNAcentral lists this ribosomal RNA (269 nucleotides) under uncultured prokaryote. RNAcentral describes it as "partial 16S ribosomal RNA". It matches the Rfam family "Bacterial small subunit ribosomal RNA", at positions 524 to 792 of the family's 1533-position model. The record is from RNAcentral.